This 514-nucleotide unclassified non-coding RNA is filed under the name Hevea brasiliensis (rubber tree). Lineage: Eukaryota; Viridiplantae; Streptophyta; Magnoliopsida; Malpighiales; Euphorbiaceae. The record is from RNAcentral.
AGUAGUUUUCCUGUCAGAUCUGCAAUAAAAUUGACAUAGAUAUCAAGAUCAAGGGCAAAACACACAAAAUAAAAAUUAUUAGCCGAGAGAAAUUUGUCCAUCGGUAUUACUUGAAUGGCUUGUUAAUGUCUCGGAACUAAGGAUGUGCAGAAUUUUGAAUCUAAUUGAACAAUUAUAUCAAAUCAAUCAGAACUUUAUAGAGCCAAAUUUGUUAUAGGUAAAUUGGAUAUAAAAAGCCAAACAUUUAAGAUGGCAUAAUUAUGAUUAAAACCGAACUUUAUCACAGUUUUUAACAUAUCAAACCGAACUAAAUUAGAACAAAAAUAAAAUCAAAUUAAAUCAAAUUGGUUUGAUUCAAUUCAUCUUGGAUUUUUUUUAUUUAUUUUAAAUCUAAUUUCAGCUAUAUUUCUUAUUUUUAAUUUUAAUUUAAGACCUAAUAAUAAUUAGUUAGAAAAAAAAAACCAUUCAAUUCAUUUUUGGUUCUAACUAUUUUUUCUCUAAAAAUCAAACCAAU